CUGUGUGUUGUUGGGUAGGGGAGCGUUCUGUAAGCCUGCGAAGGUGGCCUGUGAGGGUUGCUGGAGGUAUCAGAAGUGCGAAUGCUGACAUAAGUAACGAUAAAGCGGGUGAAAAGCCCGCUCGCCGGAAGACCAAGGGUUCCUGUCCAACGUUAAUCGGGGCAGGGUGAGUCGACCCCUAAGGCGAGGCCGAAAGGCGUAGUCGAUGGGAAACGGGUUAAUAUUCCCGUACUUGGUGUUACUGCGAAGGGGGGACGGAGAAGGCUAUGUUGGCCGGGCGACGGUUGUCCCGGUUUAAGCGUGUAGGUGUGUGUUCCAGGUAAAUCCGGUUCACUUUAACACUGAGGCGUGACGACGAGGCACUACGGUGCUGAAGCAACAAAUGCCCUGCUUCCAGGAAAAGCCUCUAAGCAUCAGGUAACAUCAAAUCGUACCCCAAACCGACACAGGUGGUCAGGUAGAGAAUACCAAGGCGCUUGAGAGAACUCGGGUGAAGGAACUAGGCAAAAUGGUGCCGUAACUUCGGGAGAAGGCACGCUGACACGUAGGUGAAGUGAUUUACUCAUGGAGCUGAAGUCAGUCGAAGAUACCAGCUGGCUGCAACUGUUUAUUAAAAACACAGCACUGUGCAAACACGAAAGUGGACGUAUACGGUGUGACGCCUGCCCGGUGCCGGAAGGUUAAUUGAUGGGGUCAGCGCAAGCGAAGCUCCUGAUCGAAGCCCCGGUAAACGGCGGCCGUAACUAUAACGGUCCUAAGGUAGCGAAAUUCCUUGUCGGGUAAGUUCCGACCUGCACGAAUGGCGUAAUGAUGGCCAGGCUGUCUCCACCCGAGACUCAGUGAAAUUGAACUCGCUGUGAAGAUGCAGUGUACCCGCGGCAAGACGGAAAGACCCCGUGAACCUUUACUAUAGCUUGACACUGAACAUUGAGCCUUGAUGUGUAGGAUAGGUGGGAGGCUUUGAAGUGUGGACGCCAGUCUGCAUGGAGCCGACCUUGAAAUACCACCCUUUAAUGUUUGAUGUUCUAACGUGGACCCGUUACCCGGGUUGCGGACAGUGUCUGGUGGGUAGUUUGACUGGGGCGGUCUCCUCCUAAAGAGUAACGGAGGAGCACGAAGGUUGGCUAAUCCUGGUCGGACAUCAGGAGGUUAGUGCAAUGGCAUAAGCCAGCUUGACUGCGAGCGUGACGGCGCGAGCAGGUGCGAAAGCAGGUCAUAGUGAUCCGGUGGUUCUGAAUGGAAGGGCCAUCGCUCAACGGAUAAAAGGUACUCCGGGGAUAACAGGCUGAUACCGCCCAAGAGUUCAUAUCGACGGCGGUGUUUGGCACCUCGAUGUCGGCUCAUCACAUCCUGGGGCUGAAGUAGGUCCCAAGGGUAUGGCUGUUCGCCAUUUAAAGUGGUACGCGAGCUGGGUUUAGAACGUCGUGAGACAGUUCGGUCCCUAUCUGCCGUGGGCGCUGGAGAACUGAGGGGGGCUGCUCCUAGUACGAGAGGACCGGAGUGGACGCAUCACUGGUGUUCGGGUUGUCAUGCCAAUGGCACUGCCCGGUAGCUAAAUGCGGAAGAGAUAAGUGCUGAAAGCAUCUAAGCACGAAACUUGCCCCGAGAUGAGUUCUCCCUGAGACUUAGAGUCUCCUGAAGGAACGUUGAAGACGACGACGUUGAUAG
This 1668-nucleotide ribosomal RNA is filed under the name Salmonella enterica subsp. enterica serovar Enteritidis. RNAcentral's name for it is "partial 23S ribosomal RNA". It matches the Rfam family "Bacterial large subunit ribosomal RNA", at positions 1214 to 2859 of the family's 2925-position model. The record is from RNAcentral. Lineage: Bacteria; Pseudomonadati; Pseudomonadota; Gammaproteobacteria; Enterobacterales; Enterobacteriaceae.